Rattus norvegicus (Norway rat) is the source of this 940-nucleotide non-coding RNA. The record is from RefSeq and is a predicted model, not a curated record. NCBI's taxonomy places the organism in Eukaryota, Metazoa, Chordata, Mammalia, Rodentia, Muridae.
GAUUGGCUGGGGAGACACGGGGUUUCCUGAGACAGCUGUGCCAACUGGGCUUAUCAUGGUGGGCUUCCUGAGAGAGGUGGCACUGAGCUUUCCUCUGAAGCCUAGGGAUUUAAGGAAGCUGGCAUCCAUCCAGAUGCUGUUGAGAGGCUACCCAGAUGCCCAAGGUUAAAGGUCAGCCCUCCAUCGGCAGAGGUUGCUAGGUUACCACUGUGUUACCCAUAGAAUAUGAAAGGCCAGGAAGUUGGAAGGAAGGCCACUACCCACUGAUUACAAACCUGAGAUUCAGGUCCCAGCCAGCCUAGAUCUAAAGCCAGAGUCCACCAGUCCGCAUGCAGCCUCCCCAGCGCUCACCAUUGUUCAUGAGGCUCAAAGGUGUGAGGGGAAGAGAGAAGAGGGGUCAAGAGGUCAUGAUCUUCUAGAACCUUCCACCUCCACAUUCGAAGUGCCCAUGUGACCCAGUUCCUUUCAGUUACCUGAACGGAUUCUUGAUCAUGUUCCAGUCGAGGACCCAAUUCAGGAAAUAGUCCAGCAAGAUUGUCCCCUGUACCCCAAGGGCCAACAUGAAGAAGCUGAAGGCCACACUGCUCCAGCCGUGUCUCCGAAAGGAUGAGGACAGGAAGCCGAAACCCAAGGCUGCCACAAGGGUCAAAUCCUGGAUGACUGUGAGUGGGGAGGGGUAGAGUAGGUGGGGACAAAGGGAGAAAGGGUGAGACACAGUGGCCACUGGAAGGGACUUCUGAGAUCAUUUAAGAGAACUUGGCCAAAUUGCCCCUCCUCUUUGGGCCUCAACUUUCCCAUCUGAAUAAUGGGAUAAUGACUACUGAGCAGGCAGGGGCGUGGUGUGGGUAGAUGAGUGAGAGCUGGUGAAGUGAUUCCAGUAGGUAUGAGUGCACAGGACAUGAUCAACCGUUAUGAGAAAUAAACAGCAUGGCGUGGGCAA